CCAUACCCUAACUUGUCUUCUUGAUUCUUGAUUCUUCUGUUUCCGUCUGUUCCUCGGGACUGGCGCGUCGAUGAGGGUGAGAAUGUGCCCAUGAGGUGCUCUUCUUGGUCCAAUCGAUGUGCCUAUUUGGGUGACGCACGGAUGCAUACCGUCGAGAUCUGCUUGUCAUCUUGAUUCGUUAUUAUUCUGUUGCCGUCUCAUGUUUCUUGUUUCUCAUCUUGAUUCGUUAUUAUUCUGUUGCACGGAUGGAGGAACGUGUCGAUGGGGGUGGCAAUGUGCCCCUGUGGACGGUGGCUGAAGCUCUCCCCAAGACUUCUUGGGUAAAAUCUUGUGGGUACUGAAUCUUGGACCCUUAGCUUGUAUUCUUGAUUCCUGAUUCUUUCGUCGCCGUCCCUUCUUGUUUCUUGGGUGGAACAUGUCAAUUGGUGUGGGACUGUGCCUCUCCGACUCGUGGCAGAAGCCACCCGUGACUUCUUCGGUCGAUGUAUGGGAACUGGAUCUUGGACCCAUAGAUGCAUUCCACAUAGAUCUGCUUCCACACGCAUCGCAACAAGCCCUAGUUUCUGUGGCACCUCUUGGAAGAAGACUUCGUCGCUGGUUUUUUAAGAUCAACUUGCCAUAUCACCGUGCUUUUUACUUGAUGAGGACGCAGACAGACUGCUCGCCAUUAAACGAUAUUUGUAACAGCGCGAUAAUUUCACCCGACCAUCGCGAGCUUUUGACACACCCAAGGAAUUAUGUGUUGUAAAAAGCUGUUUAGUUGUUUCUUUAUUUCCUUCCUGAACAUCAGAUUUAGGUGAAUUUUCGGAAAAAGCUUUUUUUUCUUUUUAA
Long non-coding RNA from Musa acuminata AAA Group (dessert banana), 831 nucleotides. RefSeq lists it as uncharacterized. The record is from RefSeq and is a predicted model, not a curated record. The transcript is spliced from 2 exons. NCBI's taxonomy places the organism in Eukaryota, Viridiplantae, Streptophyta, Magnoliopsida, Zingiberales, Musaceae.